AGAUGCGAUCAUACCAACUCACAUGUACCAUAUCCCAUCAAAACUCUGAAGUUAAGCGAAUUUGGACGAGAGUAGUAUUAGGAUGGGUGACCUCCUAGAAAGUCCUCGUGUUACAUCCC
RNAcentral lists this ribosomal RNA (119 nucleotides) under Malus domestica (apple). Lineage: Eukaryota; Viridiplantae; Streptophyta; Magnoliopsida; Rosales; Rosaceae. The record is from RNAcentral.